AAUCAUUUAAGGAUAAAAUAAAUGUUUUAAAAAUAGUUUGAGUUAUUAUAAAUAACUUUUAUAUUUUGGCAAUGAUUUCAUUAAUAAUUUAAUAUUAAUUAAUUAUUAAUGAUAAUAGAAUUGUUUGAUGUUUAAGUCAUAUAAUUAUAAUUCCGAUGUUUGAAAGUGAUAUCCGGUCAAACUAGCUGACUAGAGAACCGGUUAUGAAGUCCAGGAUUUGGUGAAGAGCACCCAUAGUAACAGUUAUAUCACUAUAAGCCUUGAGUGACAGAUUUGAUUUAUUUUAAAUUUUUCAAUUUCUGGAAAAAUUCGAAAAUGAUUAAAAGUAAAAUGUCUGAUAUUUACAGAUGUUGAGGUAUAGAAUAAGAGUCUUAGACUCAGUAUGUACCCGAUAAAGCUGUCGGUACGCCGACAACUGUCGGACCUUAUAAUAGAAAGAAAAGGCUACUGUAAGAACAUGGAUGAGAUAUUUGAAAAAUGUAUAAAAGUAUAGAAUGUGAUGACAUAAUUAGACUAUGUACUGACCAUAAUUGACAGUACUAUGUGUUAUGAUUUAUGUUCUAAUCGGACGAAUGACCUGUUUAUUGAUAGGUUGUGAUAAAGAGAUAAGAUCUAAGUUGAGAUUUGUAAUCAGCAAAUCAGGCAAGUAUCCUACCUUUGCAUUUCCUUUAUGCAAUGGACAUGAGUAAGAAGUUUCAGAAUUAUUCUAUUCCUGUACAGAUUAUGUACGCUUUGAUUAUCAACAUGUUAGCUCAGAUAUAUAUUCUGUUAAGUUGAUUUCUAAAUGGUUAUACAAGUGUCCCCACUUGGAUAAUCAUGGCAUUUAUUCACAUGUUGAUAUACCAUGUCAAUUACCCGUAUACAUAUAUGUUGAAUUACAUAUUAUUGUUGAGCAAGAUUAAAAACCUUCGGGUUUGGAACCAGGCAUGUAUGAACAUCCCGAUAAUGGGAAAAUUUUUAUGCGCUUCGGCGGACAAAGGAUGAGCGAUGAAUGUCGUUCUAGUUAUGUAGUAUUGAUCAAUACAGGGUACAACGGGGCUGAUCACCCUCCGUGCCCGUAAGUUAUGACGGUUUGUGGAUGAAUUUCUGCUAAACCUUUUCGAAAAUGAAAAAGAAUGUUCAUAGUAUGUUUCUUAAACCCUAUUCAUGGGUAGAGCCUCAUUUCAAGAAUUUGAAAGAGAGUUGUUAUGUGAAUCUUUUAUCAGUACAGAUUACUUCACAACUUUUGAUUCGUUGUAGAAGUGUUAUGUAAAGGGAAUACUUAUAUUCUUUCAGCUUAUAUAUAUAAUUGCUAUUACUUGCUGGGCACUCAAAUGCUCAUCCUUGCUUAAAUCAAAUGUUUUCAGUUAUGUAUGAGCAACCUGAAGGCUCAGGCACGAACAAAGGAAAAGGAAAGCUGAUCGAAUAAGUGUGUAUUAUGAGUUAAUGGUUAUAGCUGUAUGGAUAUCUAUUCAAGUAUUGUAAGGAAUGUAUUUGAAGGUCUCGUACCUGGGAAGUAAACUUUGAUGUAUGUAAAUUAAGUUUGAAUGUAAUAUUACUACUGUAUUAUUCAGCUUAUAGAAAUGGUAUCGUGAAGCACUGAGUUCGGGUUUCAAGUAUCCGGAUUUGGGGGCGUCACAAUUACCGCUACGUAAUUUAAUUUAUUCUCUUUAUUGAAAAGACCUAUCAGGUAUAAGAUUGAUCUUUCAAUUAGCAUAUCAUACCUUAUUCCAUAAUACUAUCUAACACUUAAUCACAUAGUCACAUAUUAGAUAAUCUUACCACCAUAUUCAUUUACUUACUUAUAAUCUCAUCAUCUUAUAUUAACUUGUCUAACCUUCACUCACAAAGUUAAGUAUUAGACAUUACACCUUAGUCUUAGUAUUAUCAUUAUACUUUGAUAAUCUUUUCAUCACUUAUAACCUAUACUUAUAAGUUUUUCCUUUAUAUGUUAUCUUAGUAAGCUAGAUAACCUUUCAGUAAACUGAAAUAUCAUUUCAGUAAAUCGGAUUACAUUUAAGCAUCCUGAAAUUACUAUUUCAGCAGACCACAAAAUAUUUCAGUAGACUGAAACCAUUUCAGCAAUCCAAAAUCCAAUUUAGCACCCUGAAUUCUCAUUUUAGUCUAUUACAAGCAUAACAUAGUUCAUUGAAUACCAAAUUCAACAAUUAUAUUGAAAAAUAAUAUAAAUCUCUUAUUUUAAUCUCCCGUCAAAUAUUAUUAAUUAUGUAAUAAUAUUUAACGCUACGGUUAUUAACCUUUUAAUAACAUUCCAGUCAAAUACUACUAAUAAUAUCUUAAUCCAAUAUUAUUAGUCAUAUAAAAAAAUAAUUGAAGUCAUUAAUCACAUUAAUAUACAAUUUAGUUCAAUUGUUUUUCUUUCCUUAAUUAACUCAUUAAACAUUCUAAAAUGCCAUAAACAUCACAACUGUAACAACCCGAUAUUUUCUAUACAAAUAAAUUAGAAAUUCUGCGUAUAAAUUUUUUAUUAGUAUUUUAAAUAUGGGGAAUAUGUGCCAAGAUAAUGUGUGUAUUAUUUAUGUGAUAUAUUUAUUACAUGAAUGAUUUUAAAUAAUAUUAUUUUAGAAUUAUUGAUUAUUAUAAAUUAUAUUUUUAUAAUAAUUAAUUUUAUAGCAGAAAUGUUUUUAUUAAUUAUUUUCCAUGAAAAUAUAAUCAUAUAUUAUUUAUAUAAUAUAUGAAAUAAUUUUUAGAAUUAUUAUAAUAAUUACUUUAUUAUAUGAAUUUUAGUACAGAUUAUUAAUUAAUCAUUUUAAUUUAAUUAAUAAUGUUAAGUAUGACAGAUAAAUCAGAUAUGGAAUCCAAACCAUAAUUUUAUAUUUUGAUCAAGGAAUGAGAAUAAUAAUAUAAUAUUAUUUAUAUUUUGAUUUUUCAGUACUAUAAUUAUAUACUGUAGGUAUGUGGACUGACAAUGAUUGAUCAAAUAUGAUGUAUUAUGUCAAACCCUAGUUUUAAUGUGGAAACCCUAAUUUGAAACUCAAUUGCGAGUUCAUGACUAUUAUAUAACUGUGUUGUAUGAUUUUGCGAUUAACUAGGUCAACCCUAAUUAGCAUUUAUAUAUAUAUAUAUAUAUAUAUAUUAAUUUCUUAAAAUCCUAAUUAUUAAGUAUAAACCCUAAUUUUGAUUUGUUAACCCUAAUUACCAAAAAUUCUAAAUCCUAAUUGCUAAAUUAGCAAGGAUAAUUAUAAUUAUUAUAUAAUAAACCCUAAUGUUCAUGUAUGAUUAGAACCUUAAUCAAAUUAAGAAAACCCUAAUUAUAAAUUUUUCAAACUAAUUAUAUUUUAUUUUAAACCCUAAAUAAAUAAUUUGGGUAGCAUAUAUUAAAAUUGUUAGACUAUGAUUAUUACAUGGCCCAAAAUAAUUAUGGGAGAAGCCCAAAAAGAAAUCAAAUUCAAGCCCAAACUUAGCCCACAUAACCAAGGAUAUUCUAGACCUUUGAUUUAUCUAAUUUAUGCAUUAAAAUAAAAGCUAUAUAAAGGAAUUAGUGGCCGGCCACAAUAGGCCUUUUAAGGCAACAAAUUAGGCUAAUCAAGUUUCCUUAAAUAGUCACUGUUACAUCAAGUACAUAGGUGUCAAUCUCCCUUUGGUUGAAAAUCUACUUAGCACCCUUAAUCACAUGAUUAGGCUUACUUGGAAGAGAUAAGGUGAAGCUUUUUAUCCAUGGGAUAACAAGUGUAUGGGGGAUAAUAGCUAAAUCCCACAUUUGCUAGACUUCUAUAAAUAGAUUAGAGAGAAAUAAACCAUUUGCUUGCUCAUUUUGUGCACACACCCUCAACCAAUCUCUCUCAACUCAUAACCCACAAAAUUCUUUGCUAAGACCAGUCCAAAACAAAGCCCCACCAUUACCAUUAACAAAUCACAAGAUCAGAAUCAAGAAAUCAAAGUUUAAAGGUAUAAAACCCUAGAUUGAUUUUUGUCCAUAAAUUCUGUGUUAGAUGUUAUGUUUGAGUGUUAGAAUAUGUUGGUUAUAGUGUCUAAUGAUGAUCUGGGUUGCUAAAUAUUGGAUCCAUAACAUUUAGAAGCUCAGAUUUGAAGAUUUGCAAAAUCUGGAAAAAAUUGGUUAUAUGGUCUAACAACGAAUGUCAGUGGCCACAGAUCCUUGCUCGAUUAUGUUUUUGUUGUUUUUAAGUUUUAAUGUGUAGCUUGUAGUAUGGUCUUUAAUCUGCAAAAAGAAUCUGGGUCAUAUGAUGUCUAGAAUGAAAGUUAUUAACGGUCAAAUAUCGUUGAUCGGCAUUGACCGGAAGAAAUCUGGGCAGCCUAGAUUAUGCCCAGAUCGUGUCUGACAAGAUUUUGAUCGGCUAGAUCUGUCCGUGUAUACAUGUUUUGGUUCUGUUGUUGUAAUAUAAUAGUAGCUUGGUAUGAGUACUACAAGCUUAUGCCUUAAAAUAGCUUUAAUAUCAAACGUAUUGAACGUAGUGAAUGGUCAAAGCAGGCCACUCGGUCACAGUUGUAUUUUCUGGAAUUUCCAGAAAUGUCAAGAACAUAUAUUCUGACAGCCUUUGACCGAUCAAUAUCUUGCUAUUGUUUUGUUGUUAUGGUUAUGUUUUGUGAUAGAUCUGUAGUGUUACAUGUGGGCUAGAAUCUAGAAGUCAUCACUAAAAUAUUAAACGAUCAGAUUGUAGUAGAGGCUCAAAGUAUGACCCAUGGUCUGUUCUUCAUUUCUGGGUAACCUAGAAAUGAAGAACAGUCCUGACAUCAUUUUUGAAGGCAUAGAUCUAGUUUAUUUCAUGCUUGUUAGCUAUGUUUGUUGCUGGAUCUUGUAGACUGACAUUAGCUUUAUACGAUUUAAUCAACAACAUGAUCAGAAACACUUUGUGCUAAGAAUUAUUCGUGGUCAAAUCUGCUUGCUUGAUAACUGGCUAUGAAGGUUCUGGGUUUUCAUGAAGAACACAUAUAGCGACGGUUCUGUCGCUAUAGGUGGUCUUUAGUGACAGAUUAUUUAUAAAAAUCAUAUUUUUAUUAAAUAAUUAUAGAAAAUUAGUUUUUAAUUAUUAAAAAUACAUAAUAAAUUAUUAAAAUUAUUUUAAAGUCCGAAAAUUAUAUUUUAAUUAUUUUGGAUAUAUUUCACAAAUAUUUAAUAUUUUUGGAAUAUUAAAGGUAGUUAAUUUAUUUAAUAAUUAUAUUAAAUAAAUUAUUUAAAAAUGAUUUUAAUACUUGAAAAAUCAUUUACAAUUAUAUUAUGGAAUAAGAAAAUAUUUUAAGUUAUUUUUAAUAAGUUUUAAUAUUUUAUGGUGAAUUUCAUUAACUAAUGAUAUUAAAGUUAUUUAGUAAUUAUAUUAAAUAAUCUAGUUUAAAAAUGAUUUUAAUAUUAUAAAAAUUAUUUUAAAUGAAAAUAAAGUGUUUAAAGGUAUUUUAAGUUAUAAAAUAUAACUUUUAAUAUUUAAAGGAUAAUUUCAUUAAUAAUGGAAUAUUAAUGAUAUUUAUUUAACAUUAAUGAUAUUAAAUUUAUUUAGUAAUUAUAUUAAAUAAAUAGUUUAAAAUGGUUUUAUUGAUUUAAAAAUCAUUUAAAAGGGAUAUAAAUGAAUUAAAAAUAUUUUAAGUUAUAAUUAAUGACUUUUAAUAUUGGAUAAAUAGUACGUUAAUAUUUAAAUAUUAAUGGUAAUUAUUUAUAAAUGAUCUUAAAUGUUUUAAAAGUCAUUUAAGGGUAAUAUUACUACUUUAAAAAUAUUCUAAAUUAUUAUAAAUAACUUUAAUAUUUUGGCAAUGGUUUCAUUAAUAGUUUAAUAUUAAUUAAAUAUUAAUGAUAAUAGAAUUGUUUGAUGUUUAAAUCAUUUGAUAAUGAUUCCGGGUUUGAAAAUUUAUGAUAAAUUAUAAAAAAAUGUUUAUUGAGUCAUUUAGAAUAAUAUGACUGAUAUUUACAGAUAUUGAGUUACAGAAUAGAGUCUUAGACUCGAUAAUUACCCGAUAAAGCUGUCGGUACACCGACAUAUUUUAGGAAUUGAUCUGGACUUAGAUAUUUUGACUGUAUUAAUGUUUGUUUGUGAUGCAAUGACUGUUGAACAUGUGUGAUAAUGUGAUUAGGUUAUGUGCUGACUGCAAAAUGCAGUACUAUAUGUUAUAGUAUAUUGUUCUAAUCGAACGAAUGAUCUGAUUAAUGAUAGGUCGUGAUAUAAAAGAUAAAACUAAUUUGUUUAUUGUAAGCAGUGCAUCAGGCAAGUAUCCUACCUUUGCAUUUCCUUUAUGCAAUGGACAUGAGUAAGAAUGUUUCAGAAUUAUAUUAUUACUGUCAGAUUAUUAACCCUAUAUUGUAUAUGCUCAUUAAUUAUCAACAUGUUAGUAUAUGGUAAUUCAGAUAUAUAUUCUGUUCGUUAAAUUCUAGAAAUGGUUAUUCAAGUGUCCCCACUUGGAUAAUCAUUGCAUUUGAUCACAUAUUGAUACACCUUUGUCAAUUACCCGUAUAUAUAUGUUGAAUUAUUAGAUUAUUGUUGAACAAGAUAAAACCUACCAUUAUCCAACUGAAUUGCUUUGGUUUGGAACCCCGACAGGUAUGAACAUCUCAUUCAUUGGAAAAUUUUUAUGUGCCCAAGGCAGCCAAAGUGAACGAUAAUAUCGUUCUUGUUAUGUAAUAUUGAUUAAUACAGGGUCCAUGAGAUGUACACCCUCGUGCCCGUAAGUUAUGACGGUUUAUAAAUGAAGUUAUGUUAAACCUUUUCGAAAAUGAAAACAAUGUUCAU
RNAcentral lists this long non-coding RNA (6671 nucleotides) under Panax ginseng (ginseng). RNAcentral describes it as "long non-coding RNA (PGIN_LNC006068)". The record is from RNAcentral. Lineage: Eukaryota; Viridiplantae; Streptophyta; Magnoliopsida; Apiales; Araliaceae.